Cytospora paraplurivora is the source of this 103-nucleotide non-coding RNA. The record is from the annotation of a GenBank genome assembly. Lineage: Eukaryota; Fungi; Ascomycota; Sordariomycetes; Diaporthales; Cytosporaceae.
UCUUCCGUAGUAUAGUGGUCAGUAUAUGAGCUUGUCAAUUUCUCCACUCUAAAAAGUGGGAUUAACAACGCUCGGGACCCGGGUUCAAUUCCCGGCGGGAGAG